GGAGCAUGUGGUUUAAUUCGAUGCAACGCGAAGAACCUUACCUGGUCUUGACAUCCACGGAAGUUUUCAGAGAUGAGAAUGUGCCUUCGGGAGCCGUGAGACAGGUGCUGCAUGGCUGUCGUCAGCUCGUGUUGUGAAAUGUUGGGUUAAGUCCCGCAACGAGCGCAACCCUUAUCCUUUGUUGCCAGCGGUCCGGCCGGGAACUCAAAGGAGACUGCCAGUGAUAAACUGGAGGAAGGUGGGGAUGACGUCAAGUCAUCAUGGCCCUUACGACCAGGGCUACACACGUGCUACAAUGGCGCAUACAAAGAGAAGCGACCUCGCGAGAGCAAGCGGACCUCAUAAAGUGCGUCGUAGUCCGGAUUGGAGUCUGCAACUCGACUCCAUGAAGUCGGAAUCGCUAGUAAUCGUGGAUCAGAAUGCCACGGUGAAUACGUCCCCGGGCCUUGUACACACCGCCCGUCACACAUGGGA
RNAcentral lists this ribosomal RNA (474 nucleotides) under Escherichia coli. RNAcentral describes it as "bacterial SSU rRNA". It matches the Rfam family "Bacterial small subunit ribosomal RNA", at positions 934 to 1408 of the family's 1533-position model. Lineage: Bacteria; Pseudomonadati; Pseudomonadota; Gammaproteobacteria; Enterobacterales; Enterobacteriaceae. The record is from RNAcentral.